UGACGGUACCUGACUAAGAAGCCCCGGCUAACUACGUGCCAGCAGCCGCGGUAAUACGUAGGUGGCGAGCGUUAUCCGGAAUUAUUGGGCGUAAAGGGUGCGUAGGCGGCAUGAUAAGUUCGUGGUUAAAGCGUGGGGCUCAACCCCAUAAAGCCACGGAUACUGUCAAGCUAGAGUACUGGAGAGGGUAGUGGAAUUCCAUGUGUAGCGGUAAAAUGCGUAGAUAUAUGGAGGAACACCGGUGGCGAAGGCGGCUACCUAGACAGAGACUGACGCUGAGGCACGAAAGCGUGGGGAGCAAAUAGGAUUAGAUACCCUAGUAGUCCACGCUGUAAACGAUGAAUGCUAAGUAUUGGGGCAACUCAGUGCUGCAGUUAACGCAAUAAGCAUUCCGCCUGUGGAGUAUGCACGCAAGUGUGAAACAUAAAGGAAUUGACGGGGGCCCGCACAAGCGGUGGAGUAUGUGGUUUAAUUCGACGCAACACGAAGAACCUUACCAGGCCUUGACAUCCCUUGCGAAAUCCUAGAGAUAGGACAGAGGUUAUCAAGGUGACAGGUGGUGCAUGGUUGUCGUCAGCUCGUGUCGUGAGAUGUUGGGUUAAGUCCCGCAACGAGCGCAACCCUUGUCUUCAGUUACCAAUAUUAAGUUAGGGACUCUGGAGAGACUGCCGGUGAUAAACCGGAGGAAGGUGGGGAUGACGUCAAAUCAUCAUGCCCCUUAUGGCCUGGGCUACACACGUACUACAAUGGCUGUUACAACGUGGAGCGACCUCGUGAGAGGAAGCGAAUCACUUAAAGACAGUCUCAGUUCGGAUUGAAGUCUGCAACUCGACUUCAUGAAGCUGGAAUCGCUAGUAAUCGCGGAUCAGCAUGCCGCGGUGAAUACGUUCUCGGGCCUUGCACACACCGCCCGUCA
Molecule: ribosomal RNA, 916 nt
Filed under: uncultured bacterium
Lineage: Bacteria
Description: bacterial SSU rRNA
Rfam family: Bacterial small subunit ribosomal RNA
Source: RNAcentral